GACCUCUCUUCCAUGGGGCUGUGGAGUUCCCUUUUCUCCUCUGCCAGGGUUAGAGGCCAAAAUCAGCCUUUGAGGGUCUUUGCUGGGGCUGCCACAAGCUGGUCAGCCUUGUUUUCCUACAUCAGACAUUU
Molecule: non-coding RNA, 131 nt
Organism: Talpa occidentalis (Iberian mole)
Lineage: Eukaryota; Metazoa; Chordata; Mammalia; Eulipotyphla; Talpidae
Source: RefSeq, a predicted model, not a curated record